UGGGGAAUAUUGCGCAAUGGGCGAAAGCCUGACGCAGCAACGCCGCGUGAGUGAUGAAGGCCUUCGGGUUGUAAAGCUCUGUCGGGCGGAACGAAGAGCCACUGUGCGAACAGUGCAGUGGAUUGACGGUACCGCCAGAGGAAGCACCGGCUAACUCCGUGCCAGCAGCCGCGGUAAUACGGAGGGUGCAAGCGUUGCUCGGAAUUAUUGGGCGUAAAGCGCACGCAGGCGGCGAGGUAAGUCAGAUGUGAAACUCCCGGGCUUAACUUGGGAACGGCAUCUGAAACUGCCUUGCUUGAGUACGGAAGAGGGGAGUGGAAUUCCCAGUGUAGAGGUGAAAUUCGUAGAUAUUGGGAGGAACACCGGUGGCGAAGGCGGCUCCCUGGUCCGAUACUGACGCUCAUGUGCGAAAGCGUGGGGAGCAAACAGG
RNAcentral lists this ribosomal RNA (430 nucleotides) under uncultured bacterium. RNAcentral describes it as "bacterial SSU rRNA". It matches the Rfam family "Bacterial small subunit ribosomal RNA", at positions 355 to 776 of the family's 1533-position model. The record is from RNAcentral.